CAAACCCUAACACAGAAGUUGGGUAUAGAAAAAGAGAAGAAACAAAGCAAUCAAAGAAGAAGAAAAGAGUUAGGAAAGCAAAACUUGUACCCAAAGAUGGAUCAUCCUAACGCAAUUUCUGUUUGCUAUUAUGGAUGGCCAACAACUCCUAGGAUUUCGUGGCCAAACAAAAUAUCCUGGGAGAAAUUUUUUUGGGUGCAAGAAUUAUAGGUACUCAUAUGGCUUUCGAAUUUAUUGUUAUUUCUUCAAUUGGUUUGAUCAUUCGAUGUCACUUCGUGCAAGGGCAGUUGCCAUAGGUUUGUUAAGGAGGAUUUGGACUAUGGAAAUGGAGAAGAUGAGAGAACGGAUGAGGUGGUUCUUCGGGCCUGUUGCUAUUGUGAUAAUGGUUUGUAUCAUGAAGUGAAGAGAUGGGUUUUAGGGAAGUGUGUGUGCUUUCGGUUUUAGUUUUCAAUUCUUGGUUUAAGUUUAAAAGCGAAAAGAUGGG
This 484-nucleotide long non-coding RNA is filed under the name Gossypium barbadense (sea-island cotton). Its description in RNAcentral is "long non-coding RNA (GBAR_LNC009003)". The record is from RNAcentral. Lineage: Eukaryota; Viridiplantae; Streptophyta; Magnoliopsida; Malvales; Malvaceae.